GAGCCCGCACAAGCAGUGGAGUAUGUGGAUUAAUUCGAUGCAACGCGAAGAACCUUACCAGGGCUUGACAUCCCGCGGAUCCGUGAUAACGAUCGGAGUGCCCUUCGGGGAACGCGGAGACAGGUGGUGCAUGGUUGUCGUCAGCUCGUGUCGUGAGAUGUUGGGUUAAGUCCCGCAACGAGCGCAACCCUUACGAUUAGUUGCUACGGGAAGAGCACUCUAAUUGGACUGCCGUUGGCAAAACGGAGGAAGGUGGGG
Molecule: ribosomal RNA, 258 nt
Filed under: uncultured prokaryote
Description: partial 16S ribosomal RNA
Rfam family: Bacterial small subunit ribosomal RNA
Source: RNAcentral